Molecule: ribosomal RNA, 1356 nt
Filed under: uncultured bacterium
Lineage: Bacteria
Description: bacterial SSU rRNA
Rfam family: Bacterial small subunit ribosomal RNA
Source: RNAcentral
GAUGAACGCUAGCGACAGGCUUAACACAUGCAAGUCGAGGGGCAGCACAGGUAGCAAUACCGGGUGGCGACCGGCGCACGGGUGAGUAACGCGUAUGCAACUUACCUAUCAGAGGGGGAUAACCCGGCGAAAGUCGGACUAAUACCGCAUGAAGCAGGGGCCCCGCAUGGGGAUAUUUGCUAAAGAUUUAUCGCUGAUAGAUAGGCAUGCGUUCCAUUAGGCAGUUGGCGGGGUAACGGCCCACCAAACCGACGAUGGAUAGGGGUUCUGAGAGGAAGGUCCCCCACAUUGGUACUGAGACACGGACCAAACUCCUACGGGAGGCAGCAGUGAGGAAUAUUGGUCAAUGGGCGCGAGCCUGAACCAGCCAAGUCGCGUGAGGGAUGAAGGUUCUAUGGAUCGUAAACCUCUUUUAUAAGGGAAUAAAGUGCGGGACGUGUCCCGUUUUGUAUGUACCUUAUGAAUAAGGAUCGGCUAACUCCGUGCCAGCAGCCGCGGUAAUACGGAGGAUCCGAGCGUUAUCCGGAUUUAUUGGGUUUAAAGGGUGCGUAGGCGGCCUUUUAAGUCAGCGGUGAAAGUCUGUGGCUCAACCAUAGAAUUGCCGUUGAAACUGGGGGGCUUGAGUAUGUUUGAGGCAGGCGGAAUGCGUGGUGUAGCGGUGAAAUGCUUAGAUAUCACGCAGAACCCCGAUUGCGAAGGCAGCCUGCCAAGCCAUGACUGACGCUGAUGCACGAAAGCGUGGGGAUCAAACAGGAUUAGAUACCCUGGUAGUCCACGCAGUAAACGAUGAUCACUAGCUGUUUGCGAUACAGUGUAAGCGGCACAGCGAAAGCGUUAAGUGAUCCACCCUGGGGAGUACGCCGGCAACGGUGAAACUCAAAGGAAUUGACGGGGGCCCGCACAAGCGGAGGAACAUGUGGUUUAAUUCGAUGAUACGCGAGGAACCUUACCCGGGUUUGAACGCAUUCGGACCGAGGUGGAAACACCUUUUCUAGCAAUAGCCGUUUGCGAGGUGCUGCAUGGUUGUCGUCAGCUCGUGCCGUGAGGUGUCGGCUUAAGUGCCAUAACGAGCGCAACCCUUGCCACUAGUUACUAACAGGUAAAGCUGAGGACUCUGGUGGGACUGCCAGCGUAAGCUGCGAGGAAGGCGGGGAUGACGUCAAAUCAGCACGGCCCUUACAUCCGGGGCGACACACGUGUUACAAUGGCGUGGACAAAGGGAUGCCACCUGGCGACAGGGAGCGAAUCCCCAAACCACGUCUCAGUUCGGAUCGGAGUCUGCAACCCGACUCCGUGAAGCUGGAUUCGCUAGUAAUCGCGCAUCAGCCAUGGCGCGGUGAAUACGUUCCCGGGCCU